GUCUAUGACCAUACCACCCUGAACAUGCCUGAUCUCAUCUGAUUUCAGAAGCUAAGCAGGUUUGGGCCUGGUUAGUACUUGGAUGGGAGAACCAUUGCCAUCUUCUCCACCAUAGUCA
This is a ribosomal RNA of Panthera pardus (leopard), 118 nucleotides long. NCBI's taxonomy places the organism in Eukaryota, Metazoa, Chordata, Mammalia, Carnivora, Felidae. The record is from Ensembl.